This 120-nucleotide ribosomal RNA is filed under the name Orbilia oligospora ATCC 24927. Lineage: Eukaryota; Fungi; Ascomycota; Orbiliomycetes; Orbiliales; Orbiliaceae. The record is from RNAcentral.
AUCUACAGCCAUAGGAAGAGGAGCACAGGGUAUCCCGUCCGCUCUGCCUUACUUAAGCCUCUUACUGUCAGAGUAGUACUGGAAUCGGUGACGGUCCGGGAAUUUCGGAUGCUGUAGAUC